Molecule: ribosomal RNA, 253 nt
Filed under: uncultured bacterium
Lineage: Bacteria
Description: partial 16S ribosomal RNA
Rfam family: Bacterial small subunit ribosomal RNA
Source: RNAcentral
UACAGAGGGUGCAGGCGUUGUUCGGAAUUACUGGGCGUAAAGGGCGCGUAGGCGGCACGGCAAGUCGGGAGUGAAAGCCCGGGGCUCAACCCCGGAGGGUCUCUCGAAACUGCCGAGCUAGAGUGCGGAAGAGGCAAUCGGAAUUCCCAGUGUAGCGGUGAAAUGCGUAGAUAUUGGGAAGAACACCGGAGGCGAAGGCGGAUUGCUGGGCCGACACUGACGCUGAGGCGCGAAAGCCAGGGGAGCAAACGGG